AAUAAGUGUAAUUUUGUACUGUUCAUAUCUAACGUUCAACUGUUCGUCUUAUAUAACAAUUUUCUAUGAUUAGUAUUUUUAUUAUUAUUAGAUGAUAAAACAUGAAUAGUAGUUUAUAUAUGACUAUUUUUUUUAUUUUUUCAUAAUUUUUUUAAAUAAGACGGACGGUUAAACAUUGAACACGGAUAUCCAUAACCUAUA
Molecule: non-coding RNA, 201 nt
Organism: Oryza glumipatula
Lineage: Eukaryota; Viridiplantae; Streptophyta; Magnoliopsida; Poales; Poaceae
Source: Rfam